Molecule: ribosomal RNA, 497 nt
Filed under: uncultured bacterium
Lineage: Bacteria
Description: partial 16S ribosomal RNA
Rfam family: Bacterial small subunit ribosomal RNA
Source: RNAcentral
GAUGAACGCUGGCGGCGUGCCUAAUACAUGCAAGUCGAGCGAACGGACGAGGAGCUUGCUCCUCUGACGUUAGCGGCGGACGGGUGAGUAACACGUGGAUAACCUACCUAUAAGACUGGGAUAACUUCGGGAAACCGGAGCUAAUACCGGAUAAUAUGUUGAAUCGCAUGGUUCAACAGUGAAAGACGGUCUUGCUGUCACUUAUAGAUGGAUCCGCGCCGCAUUAGCUAGUUGGUAAGGUAACGGCUUACCAAGGCAACGAUGCGUAGCCGACCUGAGAGGGUGAUCGGCCACACUGGAACUGAGACACGGUCCAGACUCCUACGGGAGGCAGCAGUAGGGAAUCUUCCGCAAUGGGCGAAAGCCUGACGGAGCAACGCCGCGUGAGUGAAGAAGGUCUUCGGAUCGUAAAACUCUGUUAUUAGGGAAGAACAAAUGUGUAAGUAACUAUGCACGUCUUGACGGUACCUAAUCAGAAAGCCACGGCUAACUACGUG